Non-coding RNA from Pelobates cultripes (western spadefoot toad), 206 nucleotides. The record is from the annotation of a GenBank genome assembly. Lineage: Eukaryota; Metazoa; Chordata; Amphibia; Anura; Pelobatidae.
CACACACUGACACAAUCACACACUGACACAGUCACACACACUGUCACACACACUGACACAAUCACACACACUGGCACUGUCACACACACACUGACACAAUCACACACACGGACACACACUGACACAAUCACACACACUGACACAGUCACACACUGACACAAGCUCUGACACAGUCACAUACACUCUCACACACUGACACAAUCACA